GUGUCAGCAGCCGCGGUAAUACGUAGGGGGCAAGCGUUGUUCGGAUUUACUGGGCGUAAAGGGCGCGUAGGCGGCCACCGCAAGUCAGUUGUGAAAUCUCCGAGCUUAACUCGGAAAGGUCAACUGAUACUGCGGGGCUAGAGUGCGGAAGGGGCAACUGGAAUUCUCGGUGUAGCGGUGAAAUGCGUAGAUAUCGAGAGGAACACCUGCGGCGAAGGCGGGUUGCUGGGCCGACACUGACGCUGAGGCGCGAAAGCUAGGGGAGCGAACGGGAUUAGAUACCCCGUAGUCC
This 292-nucleotide ribosomal RNA is filed under the name uncultured bacterium. RNAcentral describes it as "partial 16S ribosomal RNA". It matches the Rfam family "Bacterial small subunit ribosomal RNA", at positions 505 to 796 of the family's 1533-position model. The record is from RNAcentral.